This 467-nucleotide ribosomal RNA is filed under the name uncultured bacterium. Its description in RNAcentral is "bacterial SSU rRNA". It matches the Rfam family "Bacterial small subunit ribosomal RNA", at positions 45 to 507 of the family's 1533-position model. The record is from RNAcentral.
GGCCUAACACAUGCAAGUCGAGGGGUAACAUGAGUGCUUGCACUUGAUGACGACCGGCGCACGGGUGCGUAACGCGUAUACAAUCUACCUUAUAGAGGGGAAUAGCCCAGAGAAAUUUGGAUUAAUGCCCCAUGGUAUUAUUGAGUAGCAUUAUUUGAUAAUUAAACAUUUAUGGCUAUAAGAUGAGUACGCGUUCUAUUAGCUAGAUGGUAAGGUAACGGCUUACCAUGGCGACGAUAGAUAGGGGUCCUGAGAGGGAGAUCCCCCACACUGGUACUGAGACACGGACCAGACUCCUACGGGAGGCAGCAGUGAGGAAUAUUGGACAAUGGGAGCAAUCCUGAUCCAGCCAUGCCGCGUGCAGGAAGACUGCCCUAUGGGUUGUAAACUGCUUUUAUACAGGAAGAAAAAGGUGUACGUGUACACUGUUGACGGUACUGUAAGAAUAAGGAUCGGCUAACUCCGUG